GUGGAUAAAGAAGGGAGACCUGUUUACAUCGAAAGAUUGGGAAAAGUUGAUCCUCAUAAGCUUAUGCAAGUUACAACUAUGGAUCGUUAUGUAAAAUACCACGUGCGGGAGUUUGAGAAAAGCUUUGCAAUAAAAUUUCCUGCUUGUACCAUUGCUGCAAAGAGACAUAUAGAUUCAAGCACAACCAUUUUAGAUGUUCAUGGCGUGGGUCUUAAGAACUUCACCAAGAAUGC
This 233-nucleotide unclassified non-coding RNA is filed under the name Hevea brasiliensis (rubber tree). Lineage: Eukaryota; Viridiplantae; Streptophyta; Magnoliopsida; Malpighiales; Euphorbiaceae. The record is from RNAcentral.